UACGGGGGGGGCAAGCGUUGUUCGGAAUUACUGGGCGUAAAGGGCUCGUAGGCGGCCAACUAAGUCAAACGUGAAAUCCCUCGGCUUAACCGGGGAACUGCGUCUGAUACUGGAUGGCUUGAGUUUGGGAGAGGGAUGCGGAAUUCCAGGUGUAGCGGUGAAAUGCGUAGAUAUCUGGAGGAACACCGAUGGCGAAGGCAGCCCCCUGGGCUAACACUGACGCUCAUGCACGAAAGCGUGGGGAGCAAACAGG
RNAcentral lists this ribosomal RNA (253 nucleotides) under uncultured bacterium. RNAcentral's name for it is "partial 16S ribosomal RNA". It matches the Rfam family "Bacterial small subunit ribosomal RNA", at positions 524 to 776 of the family's 1533-position model. The record is from RNAcentral.